RNAcentral lists this ribosomal RNA (732 nucleotides) under uncultured bacterium. RNAcentral describes it as "bacterial SSU rRNA". It matches the Rfam family "Bacterial small subunit ribosomal RNA", at positions 28 to 776 of the family's 1533-position model. The record is from RNAcentral.
GAUGAACGCUGACAGAAUGCUUAACACAUGCAAGUCUACUUGAAGCUAACUUCGGUUAGUGGAUGGUGGCGGACGGGUGAGUAACGCGUAAAGAACUUGCCUCACAGAUUGGGACAACAUUUGGAAACGAAUGCUAAUACCGGAUAUUAUGAUACUUCCGCAUGGAAGAAUCAUGAAAGCUAUAUGCGCUGUGAGAGAGCUUUGCGUCCCAUUAGCUAGUUGGAGAGGUAACGGCUCACCAAGGCGAUGAUGGGUAGCCGGCCUGAGAGGGUGAACGGCCACAAGGGGACUGAGACACGGCCCUUACUCCUACGGGAGGCAGCAGUGGGGAAUAUUGGACAAUGGACCAAAAGUCUGAUCCAGCAAUUCUGUGUGCACGAUGAAGUUCUUCGGAAUGUAAAGUGCUUUCAGUUGGGAAGAAGCAAGUGACGGUACCAACAGAAGAAGCGACGGCUAAAUACGUGCCAGCAGCCGCGGUAAUACGUAUGUCGCAAGCGUUAUCCGGAUUUAUUGGGCGUAAAGCGCGUCUAGGUGGUUAUAUAAGUCUGAUGUGAAAAUGCGGGGCUCAACUCCGUAUUGCGUUGGAAACUGUGUGACUAGAGUACUGGAGAGGUAAGCGGAACUACAAGUGUAGAGGUGAAAUUCGUAGAUAUUUGUAGGAAUGCCGAUGGGGAAGCCAGCUUACUGGACAGAUACUGACGCUAAAGCGCGAAAGCGUGGGUAGCAAACAGG